RNAcentral lists this long non-coding RNA (595 nucleotides) under Setaria italica (foxtail millet). RNAcentral describes it as "long non-coding RNA (SITA_LNC000086)". The record is from RNAcentral. Lineage: Eukaryota; Viridiplantae; Streptophyta; Magnoliopsida; Poales; Poaceae.
CUCGUAUGAUUACAUAUCGAGACACAUUGCUAUAUUGAAAGAGAUAGAUACAGCACCAACAACAAUGUCUCACUUCUGUUACAAACAAUGACCAAGAUGAUGGCCUUACCAAAGGAGUUGAUCCGAGCUACAUUAUUACCAAAUUAUUAUGUAAGCUAAGGAGGUAACUUGCAUACCUAAGACAUGCCACGGCUACCGCGCGUCACAAAGUGAUGGGCAUGUAAACUAGCAAGCCGAUCAUGUAAUCCGAGUACAGCAAAGAGAUGCCAACAAGUGUCAGCAAGAGGUUAACUAAUUUUUUAAAACUGAAUCUAACUUCAAUUCAUAUGAGAAUUUUCUACUACCUAAUAAUUGAUGUACAUUUCCUUUUAUAAGUUUUAUGAUUGAAGAGGAAGCUGUUGCUCUACAUGCAAAUGAAACACAACGAUCGAAUCACAAGGAUCGGACCAAGAAGCUGCCAAGGACAACAUUGCAAGUUCGGACCCCUCGGCUAACAGUUCGGGCUACCAUACGAAGCAACCAUAACGCCUUGUUCCUGAAAGCUCUGUAGGCCCAUGUGCACCUGAUGGAAAUAUAAUCAAGUCUACUUUUCAAU